CAGUCGCCACGGUAAUACCGAGGAUGCAAGCGUUAUCCGGAAUGAUUGGGCGUAAAGCGUCUGUAGGUGGCCUUUCAAGUCCGCCGUCAAAUCUCAGGGCUCAACCCUGGACAGGCGGUGGAAACUACCAAGCUGGAGUACGGUAGGGGCAGAGGGAAUUUCCGGUGGAGCGGUGAAAUGUGUUGAGAUCGAAAAGAACACCAACGGUGAAAACACUCUGCUGGGCCGACACUGAAACUGAAGACGAAAGCUAGGGGAGAAAAUGGGAUUAGAGACCCGCGUAGUCCCUGUCUCUUAUACA
Molecule: ribosomal RNA, 301 nt
Filed under: uncultured bacterium
Lineage: Bacteria
Description: partial 16S ribosomal RNA
Rfam family: Bacterial small subunit ribosomal RNA
Source: RNAcentral